This is a non-coding RNA of Phalacrocorax carbo (great cormorant), 2253 nucleotides long. NCBI's taxonomy places the organism in Eukaryota, Metazoa, Chordata, Aves, Suliformes, Phalacrocoracidae. The record is from RefSeq and is a predicted model, not a curated record.
GGGGCCCGGGCUCCCCGGCGGGGCGCCGGCCUCGGCGGAGCGGGGCGGGGAGCGACGGGGGUCGCGGAGGCCCGGGGCGGGGCGGCGACGCGACUAGCUCCGCCGGCCCCCCGCGGGCAGCCUGCCCGGGCUUGGGGCGCAGAGAUCUGGCGAGACCGCGGGGGUGGCUCGCCCGGCCCGGCCGGGCCCGCGGGAACGGCCAGCACUGGGGGCACCCCAGGGCCGCGGGCGUGGGCGGCUUCGCUCGGGGAAGCUGGGGCUUGCAGCCCGACGUGCUGUGUGCGGGUUGUUCCGUGCUUUUGGGGGAGGAACUUUCAGAAGUACCUGAGAGGAGGUCGUAGCGAGGUCAUUCAUCCUGAAUGACACUGAGCCAAGUGGUGUGGCUGAUACUCUUGAGGGAAGGUAUGAGGAGUGGGCCCAGGCAAACUUCAUGAAGUUCAACAAGGCCAAGUGCAAGGCCAGAAAGCCAACCGAAUCCUGGGCUGCAUCACAAGAAGCGUGGCCAGCAGGUCAAGGGAGGUGAUUCUGCCCCUCUGCUCCACUCUGGUGAGACCCCACCUGCAGUGCUGCGUCCAGGUUUGGGGCCCUCAGCACAGGAAAGACAUGGACCUGUUGGAGCAGGUCCAGAGGAGGCCACAAAAAUGAUCACAGGGAUUUAGCACCUCUCCUAUGAGGACAGGCUGAGAGAGUUGGGAUUGUUCAGCCUGGAGAAGAGAAGGCUGCAGGGAGACCUUAUUGCAGCCUUUCCAUUUAAAGGGGACUUAUAAGAAAGGUAGAGAGAGAUUUUUUUACCAGGGCCUGUAGUGAUAGGACAAGGGGCCAUGGUUUUAAACAUUAUGAGGGUAGGUUUAGAUUGGAGAUAAGGAAGAAAUUUUUUACUAUGAGGGUGGUGAGGCACUGGAACAGGGUGCCCAGAGAAGUUGUGGAUGCCCCAUCCCUGCAAAUGUUCAUGGCCAGGUUGGAUGGGCUUUGAGCAACCUGGUGGUUGUGGAAGAUGUCCCUGCCCAUGGCAGAGGAGUUGGACUAGAUGAUCUUUUAAUGUUCCUUCCAACCCAAACCAUUCUAUGAUUCUAUGUUAUCUAUAAAAAGUACUUACUCCUAGCAACUUCAUGUUGUACUGAACAGGAUCAUUACAUGAUAAUGUAGGCUAUCAGUUAAGGAACACUUCUAAGUACGUACAUCUUUUUAACCAACAGGAACAGACAGGUAUUCUUCAGCAUGAUCUACAUUACCAAAAUAUUGAUUUAAAUCAUUACAAACUUGAGCUCUCUUACAAAUCUUUUGGAGGUGUACUUCUUCAUUAGGAUCCUGUGACUAAUUUUUUCCACAGUGAAAAUCAAACAUGCCCUUGUAGUACCCUGACAGAAGUAGAAAGUACUGUGUAUCCAACCUUAUGUGAGAGAGUGGAAGGCCUGAAAUGAAAAAAUAUAAAAUAUCUUAACAAAGUGAAAGCUGGAUAAUACCCACAUAAGUGUGCCAGAAAUCAAAGAAGAAUCGUAUUCCACAAUAUUUUUGCCACUCUACUCAGUUCUGUGUUGCAAGUAAGAGGGAAUUGCAGAUUUUUACCAAGAACUCCAGAAGAGACAGCGUGGGAUAUCUGGAAAGCCAAGGACACGUAGUGAACAAUCCAGACUCAGACUGUGUAAACAAGAAGGCCUCAAGGAUGUCGCAAAGGUUGACUGCGGUUUUAAAGGCACGAAGCAAGCAGGAAAAAGGGGAAGGAACCACCGACUUAGCGGAACUAAAAGCAGGAUAUGGGCAGAUCAGGCUGUGCAUGUGGAUUAAGAGUAUAAACGAAUCAGAAUAUAACUAACACCGCAUGGCCAAACACAGCUGACCAAUUAACAAUAGACUUGUGCGUGAUAAGUUGGUUAAAGAGCUAUAUUAACCGUGCUGUGUCUGCAAUACACUGACAUCUGCUUGAUCCUAUUGAUCGUGUGCUGUGUCCGUGACUUCCGCGUCAGCAAGACAGCUUGUCACAGACGUGUGAUGGAGUUCUUCAGCUGCUGUGUCCUGUGCUCCAGGCUCAAGGACUCCUCCAUGUCACAAGGAACAUCUGCAAUGGUGCUCAGCCCCACUGAGGGAAGAGAAGAAAGUUCAAGAUUAGUGAAGAUGUUCCUACUAUGGUCCUUUGUACAUGAGAGCCAGCUGUGGUCUUCUCCAAAUGAUGUCUAGUACAGAACAGAAACUUUAAUCUCAUUGCUCAGGAGUUCAAAACUGAAACCAAAAUCAAUAAAGUUUUUGCUUUGUGUA